RNAcentral lists this transfer RNA (89 nucleotides) under Ignavibacteriota bacterium. Its description in RNAcentral is "tRNA-Ser". It matches the Rfam family "tRNA". Rfam says of the family: Transfer RNA (tRNA) molecules are approximately 80 nucleotides in length. Their secondary structure includes four short double-helical elements and three loops (D, anti-codon, and T loops). Further hydrogen bonds mediate the characteristic L-shaped molecular structure. tRNAs have two regions of fundamental functional importance: the anti-codon, which is responsible for specific mRNA codon recognition, and the 3' end, to which the tRNAs corresponding amino acid is attached (by aminoacyl-tRNA synthetases). tRNAs cope with the degeneracy of the genetic code in two manners: having more than one tRNA (with a specific anti-codon) for a particular amino acid; and 'wobble' base-pairing, i.e. permitting non-standard base-pairing at the 3rd anti-codon position. Lineage: Bacteria; Pseudomonadati; Ignavibacteriota. The record is from RNAcentral. RNAcentral also lists the same sequence under 3 other names.
GGAAAGGUGGCAGAGUGGCUGAAUGCGGCAGUCUCGAAAACUGUUAUAUUGGGAAACUGAUAUCGAGGGUUCAAAUCCCUCCCUUUCCG